AAAGCUUGGCGAUACAGGGUGAUAGCCCCGUAACCGACGCUUCAUCGAGCGUGAAAUCGAGUAGGGCGGGACACGUGAUAUCCUGUCUGAAUAUGGGGGGACCAUCCUCCAAGGCUAAAUACUCCUGACUGACCGAUAGUGAACCAGUACCGUGAGGGAAAGGCGAAAAGAACCCCUGUGAGGGGAGUGAAAUAGAACCUGAAACCGUGUACGUACAAGCAGUAGGAGCACCUUCGUGGUGUGACUGCGUACCUUUUGUAUAAUGGGUCAGCGACUUAUAUUCAGUGGCAAGGUUAACCGUAUAGGGGAGCCGUAGCGAAAGCGAGUCUUAACUGGGCGCUCAGUCUCUGGAUAUAGACCCGAAACCGGGUGAUCUAGCCAUGGGCAGGUUGAAGGUUGAGUAACAUCAACUGGAGGACCGAACCGACUAAUGUUGAAAAAUUAGCGGAUGACUUGUGGCUAGGGGUGAAAGGCCAAUCAAACUCGGAGAUAGCUGGUUCUCCCCGAAAGCUAUUUAGGUAGCGCCUCGGACGAAUACUACUGGGGGUAGAGCACUGUUAAGGCUAGGGGGUCAUCCCGACUUACCAACCCUUUGCAAACUCCGAAUACCAGUAAGUACUAUCCGGGAGACACACGGCGGGUGCUAACGUCCGUCGUGGAGAGGGAAACAACCCAGACCGCCAGCUAAGGUCCCAAAGUAUUGCUAAGUGGGAAACGAUGUGGGAAGGCUCAGACAGCUAGGAUGUUGGCUUAGAAGCAGCCAUCAUUUAAAGAAAGCGUAAUAGCUCACUAGUCGAGUCGGCCUGCGCGGAAGAUGUAACGGGGCUAAGCAAUACACCGAAGCUGCGGCAAUAUCUUUUAGAUAUUGGGUAGGGGAGCGUUCUGUAAGCCGUUGAAGGUGAAUCGUAAGGUUUGCUGGAGGUAUCAGAAGUGCGAAUGCUGACAUGAGUAACGACAAAGGGGGUGAAAAACCUCCUCGCCGGAAGACCAAGGGUUCCUGUCCAACGUUAAUCGGGGCAGGGUGAGUCGACCCCUAAGGUGAGGCCGAAAGGCGUAAUCGAUGGGAAACGGGUUAAUAUUCCCGUACUUCUGACUAUUGCGAUGGGGGGACGGAGAAGGCUAGGUGGGCCAGGCGACGGUUGUCCUGGUUCAAGUGCGUAGGCUUGAGAGUUAGGUAAAUCCGGCUCUCUCUAAGGCUGAGACACGACGUCGAGCUGCUACGGCAGUGAAGUCAUUGAUGCCAUGCUUCCAGGAAAAGCCUCUAAGCUUCAGAUAGUCAGGAAUCGUACCCCAAACCGACACAGGUGGUCGGGUAGAGAAUACCAAGGCGCUUGAGAGAACUCGGGUGAAGGAACUAGGCAAAAUGGUACCGUAACUUCGGGAGAAGGUACGCUCUUGAUGGUGAAGUCCCUCGCGGAUGGAGCUGACGAGAGUCGCAGAUACCAGGUGGCUGCAACUGUUUAUUAAAAACACAGCACUGUGCAAAAUCGCAAGAUGACGUAUACGGUGUGACGCCUGCCCGGUGCCGGAAGGUUAAUUGAUGGGGUUAGCGCAAGCGAAGCUCUUGAUCGAAGCCCCGGUAAACGGCGGCCGUAACUAUAACGGUCCUAAGGUAGCGAAAUUCCUUGUCGGGUAAGUUCCGACCUGCACGAAUGGCGUAAUGAUGGCCACGCUGUCUCCACCCGAGACUCAGUGAAAUUGAAAUCGCUGUGAAGAUGCAGUGUACCCGCGGCUAGACGGAAAGACCCCGUGAACCUUUACUACAGCUUGGCACUGAACAUUGAACCUACAUGUGUAGGAUAGGUGGGAGGCUAU
This 1815-nucleotide ribosomal RNA is filed under the name Vibrio cholerae. RNAcentral's name for it is "partial 23S ribosomal RNA". It matches the Rfam family "Bacterial large subunit ribosomal RNA", at positions 346 to 2158 of the family's 2925-position model. Lineage: Bacteria; Pseudomonadati; Pseudomonadota; Gammaproteobacteria; Vibrionales; Vibrionaceae. The record is from RNAcentral.